UACGAGAGGCCCAAACGUUAUUCGGAAUUACUGGGCUUAAAGAGUUCGUAGGCGGCGCAGAAAGUAGGGUGUGAAAGCCCUCGGCUCAACCGAGGAAUUGCGCUCUAAACUACUGUGCUUGAGGAAGCUAGAGGUGAGCAGAACAGAUGGUGGAGCGGUGAAAUGCGUUGAUAUCAUCUGGAAUACCGGAGGCGAAGGCAGCUCACUGGGGCUUUUCUGACGCUGAGGAACGAAAGCCAGGGUAGCGAACGGG
Molecule: ribosomal RNA, 253 nt
Filed under: uncultured bacterium
Lineage: Bacteria
Description: partial 16S ribosomal RNA
Rfam family: Bacterial small subunit ribosomal RNA
Source: RNAcentral